UUUCCAUAGGUGAACCUGCGGAAGGAUCAUUACAGAGUUCAUGCCCUCACGGGUAGAUCUCCCACCCUUGAAUAUUUAUACCUUAGUUGCUUUGGCAGGCCGUGGAAACACCAUGGGCUCCGGCUUAUGCGUGCCUGCCAGAGGAAACAAACUCUGUUUUUAGUGAUGUCUGAGUACUAUAUAAUAGUUAAAACUUUCAACAACGGAUCUCUUGGUUCUG
This 220-nucleotide unclassified non-coding RNA is filed under the name plant metagenome. Its description in RNAcentral is "partial contains small subunit ribosomal RNA, internal transcribed spacer 1, and 5.8S ribosomal RNA". The record is from RNAcentral.